RNAcentral lists this signal recognition particle RNA (98 nucleotides) under Shigella dysenteriae 1012. RNAcentral describes it as "Bacterial signal recognition particle RNA". It matches the Rfam family "Bacterial small signal recognition particle RNA". Rfam says of the family: The signal recognition particle (SRP) is a universally conserved ribonucleoprotein involved in the co-translational targeting of proteins to membranes. Archaeal SRP consists of a 7S RNA and homologues of the eukaryotic SRP19 and SRP54 proteins. In most bacteria, the SRP consists of a 4.5S RNA and the Ffh protein (a homologue of the eukaryotic SRP54 protein). Lineage: Bacteria; Pseudomonadati; Pseudomonadota; Gammaproteobacteria; Enterobacterales; Enterobacteriaceae. The record is from RNAcentral.
UGUUGGUUCUCCCGCAACGCUACUCUGUUUACUAGGUCAGGUCCGGAAGGAAGCAGCCAAGGCAGAUGACGCGUGUGCCGGGAUGUAGCUGGCAGGCC